AUUGAACGCUAGCGGAAUGCUUUACACAUGCAAGUCGAACGGCAGCACGGACUUCGGCCUGGUGGCGAGUGGCGAACGGGUGAGUAAUGCAUCGGAACGUACCCAGUAGCGGGGGAUAACUACGCGAAAGCGUAGCUAAUACCGCAUACGCCCUACGGGGGAAAGGGGGGGAUCGCAAGACCUCUCACUAUUGGAGCGGCCGAUGGCGGAUUAGGUAGUUGGUGGGGUAAAGGCCUACCAAGGCGACGAUCCGUAGCUGGUUUGAGAGGACGACCAGCCACACUGGGACUGAGACACGGCCCAGACUCCUACGGGAGGCAGCAGUGGGGAAUUUUGGACAAUGGGGGAAACCCUGAUCCAGCCAUUCCGCGUGUGUGAUGAAGGCCUUCGGGUUGUAAGGCACUUUUGGCAGGAAAGAAAUAGCUCAGGUUAAUACCUUGGGUUGAUGACGGUACCUGCAGAAUAAGCACCGGCUAACUACGUGCCAGCCGCCGCUGUAA
RNAcentral lists this ribosomal RNA (500 nucleotides) under uncultured bacterium. Its description in RNAcentral is "partial 16S ribosomal RNA". It matches the Rfam family "Bacterial small subunit ribosomal RNA", at positions 30 to 523 of the family's 1533-position model. The record is from RNAcentral.